Molecule: ribosomal RNA, 753 nt
Filed under: uncultured bacterium
Lineage: Bacteria
Description: bacterial SSU rRNA
Rfam family: Bacterial small subunit ribosomal RNA
Source: RNAcentral
GAUGAACGCUAGCGGCAGGCUUAACACAUGCAAGUCGAGGGGUAGUAUUGGAGCUUGCUCUAAUAUGAGACCGGCGCACGGGUGCGUAACGCGUAUAGAACCUACCUUAAUCAAAGGGAUAGCCCAGAGAAAUUUGGAUUAAUACCUUAUGUGAUUAUUGAGUGGCAUCACUUAAUAAUUAAAGAUUUAUCGGAUUAAGAUGGCUAUGCGUCCCAUUAGCUAGUUGGUAUGGUAACGGCAUACCAAGGCGAUGAUGGGUAGGGGUCCUGAGAGGGAGAUCCCCCACACUGGUACUGAGACACGGACCAGACUCCUACGGGAGGCAGCAGUGAGGAAUAUUGGUCAAUGGAGGCAACUCUGAACCAGCCAUGCCGCGUGCAGGAAGAAGGUCUUAUGGAUUGUAAACUGCUUUUAUACAGGAAGAAACCUACCCUUGCGAGGGUAAUUGACGGUACUGUAAGAAUAAGGACCGGCUAACUCCGUGCCAGCAGCCGCGGUAAUACGGAGGGUCCGAGCGUUAUCCGGAAUCAUUGGGUUUAAAGGGUUCGUAGGCGGUUGAAUAAGUCAGUGGUGAAAGUUUUCGGCUCAACCGGAAAAAUGCCAUUGAUACUGUUUAACUUGAAUUAGUGUGAAGUAAUUAGAAUAAGUAGUGUAGCGGUGAAAUGCAUAGAUAUUACUUAGAAUACCGAUUGCGAAGGCAGAUUACUAACACUAAAUUGACGCUGAUGGACGAAAGCGUGGGGAGCGAACAGG